RNAcentral lists this ribosomal RNA (429 nucleotides) under Bacteroidota bacterium. RNAcentral describes it as "Bacteroidetes bacterium partial 16S ribosomal RNA". It matches the Rfam family "Bacterial small subunit ribosomal RNA", at positions 355 to 776 of the family's 1533-position model. The record is from RNAcentral. Lineage: Bacteria; Pseudomonadati; Bacteroidota.
UAGGGAAUCUUCGGCAAUGGGGGGAACCCUGACCGAGCAACGCCGCGUGAGUGAAGAAGGUUUUCGGAUCGUAAAGCUCUGUUGUUAAGGAAGAACGAGUGUGAGAAUGGAAAGUUCAUACUGUGACGGUACUUAACCAGAAAGGGACGGCUAACUACGUGCCAGCAGCCGCGGUAAUACGUAGGUCCCGAGCGUUGUCCGGAUUUAUUGGGCGUAAAGCGAGCGCAGGCGGUUAGAAAAGUCUGAAGUGAAAGGCAGUGGCUCAACCAUUGUAGGCUUUGGAAACCGUUUAACUUGGGUGCAGAAGGGGAGAGUGGAAUUCCAUGUGUAGCGGUGAAAUGCGUAGAUAUAUGGAGGAACACCGGUGGCGAAAGCGGCUCUCUGGUCUGUAACUGACGCUGAGGCUCGAAAGCGUGGGGAGCGAACAGG